GGAGCCUGAUAUAUAUUCGACAAUAGACGUUAGUCGCUAGGGAAACCGAUGUCUAGAAUAUUCUUUUAAAUAAGACGUUACGAACCAGCAGUUACCUGCACUUCAUCCUCUUCCUUUGCCUUUUCUCUCUGCAGAAUUGCAUUUCCAGGUGCAUUUGAUCUCUUUUCAACCAUUUAAUCUUGCAUUUAGUCCGACUAAAGUAAUCUUUAAUGUAUUAUCUUUCGUUU
This 227-nucleotide long non-coding RNA is filed under the name Vigna radiata. Its description in RNAcentral is "long non-coding RNA (VRAD_LNC006299)". Lineage: Eukaryota; Viridiplantae; Streptophyta; Magnoliopsida; Fabales; Fabaceae. The record is from RNAcentral.